AACGAACGCUGGCGGCGUGGAUAAGACAUGCAAGUCGAACGCGAUUUUUCCGGUUAGCAAUAACUGGAAAAAUUGAGUGGCGAAUGGGUGCGUAACACGUGGGAAUUUAUCCGGAAGUGGGGAUAGCUUGCCGAAAGGCAAAUUAAUACCGCAUAUGCCCGUAAGGGCAAAGUGGGGGACCGCAAGGCCUCACGCUAUCGGAGGAGCCCGCGCCCUAUCAGCUAGUUGGUGAGGUAAUGGCUCACCAAGGCUUAGACGGGUAGCUGGUCUGAGAGGACGACCAGCCACACUGGAACUGAGACACGGUCCAGACACCUACGGGUGGCAGCAGUCGAGGAUUUUUCUCAAUGGGGGCAACCCUGAAGGAGCGACGCCGCGUGGAGGAUGAAGGGCUUCGGCUCGUAAACUCCUGUCACCGACGAACAAGCAUCGGUAUAAUACGCCGGUGCCCUGACGGUACCCUGCAAGAAAGCACCGGCUAACUCCGUGCCAGCAGCCGCGGUAAU
RNAcentral lists this ribosomal RNA (506 nucleotides) under uncultured bacterium. RNAcentral's name for it is "bacterial SSU rRNA". It matches the Rfam family "Bacterial small subunit ribosomal RNA", at positions 29 to 524 of the family's 1533-position model. The record is from RNAcentral.